AACGAACGUUCGCGGCGCGCCUAACACAUGCAAGUCGAGCGAGAAAGGGCUUCGGCCCCGGUACAGCGGCGCACGGGUGAGUAACACGUAGGCAAUCUGCCCCUGAGUGGGGGAUAACCUUCCGAAAGGAGGACUAAUACCGCAUGAGACCACGACCCCGCGAGGGGAUGAGGUCAAAGCCGGCCACUUCACGAAAGCUGGCGCUUGGGGAUGAGCCUGCGGCCCAUCAGCUAAUUGGUAGGGUAAUGGCCUACCAAGGCGAAGACGGGUAGCUGGUCUGAGAGGAUGAUCAGCCACACUGGAACUGAGACACGGUCCAGACUCCUACGGGAGGCAGCAGUGGGGAAUCUUGCGCAAUGGGCGAAAGCCUGACGCAGCGACGCCGCGUGAGUGAUGAAGGCCUUCGGGUUGUAAAGCUCUGUGGAGGGAGACGAAUAAGGCAUGGCUAACAUCCAUGUUGAUGACGGUAUCCCUUUAGCAAGCACCGGCUAACUCUGUGCCAGCCGCCGCCGUAA
Molecule: ribosomal RNA, 515 nt
Filed under: uncultured bacterium
Lineage: Bacteria
Description: partial 16S ribosomal RNA
Rfam family: Bacterial small subunit ribosomal RNA
Source: RNAcentral